Long non-coding RNA from Astyanax mexicanus (Mexican tetra), 575 nucleotides. RefSeq lists it as uncharacterized. The transcript is spliced from 2 exons. The record is from RefSeq and is a predicted model, not a curated record. NCBI's taxonomy places the organism in Eukaryota, Metazoa, Chordata, Actinopteri, Characiformes, Acestrorhamphidae.
CGACGAAUCCACCCCCCUCCCCCUCCCCCCUCCCUGCACGUGCCUUUACCACAGAGCAACGAUCAAGCUUAAAGGCAAAGUCAGUGAGUGACUUUGGUCUGUCAAAGUGACUGAAAGAGGCCGUGAGAAGAUCAAUCAUGCCACCACCAAAGGAUGCAGAGAUCGAGCAGGUUGCAAAGGUUUGGCUUUGGAAUGCACGGGACCGUUCAGGUGGACGGUUUAAUUUACAGGUAGCACAGUUCGCAAAAAUAUAUAUUGGAACUGAACAAGAAAAAUAAAUAUUAGGCCAAUGACUUCUAACAGGACCACUGCAGCUCAUAGCUUCAAAAUCACUGUCAUAGGAACUAGUUAGUCUAAACUUAGGUGGACCAUCCCUACAACAGCUUGUGGACACAACUCCACACACAUUAAAAUUCUAACAUCAGCCAAAUGUUUUUAGACUCAAGUUAACAGAUGGAAAAUAAGUUUACAAAGGAUAUAGAGGAAAUGCACUGACUGCAUCAUACUCAUCAGAGUUUUGGAGGAACUGAACUCUCUACUUAAUAACUAAAAUAAAAAGGGGGUGUUUUAUGCUC